UACAGAGGUCCCAAGCGUUGUUCGGAUUUAUUGGGCGUAAAGGGCGCGUAGGCGGGAAUGUAAGUCAGAUGUGAAAUCCCGGGGCUCAACCCCGGAACAGCAUUUGAAACUGCUUUUCUAUGAGGAUGGACGGAGAAAAUGGAAUUCCACAAGUAGCGGUGAAAUGCGUAGAUAUGUGGAAGAACACCAGUGGCGAAGGCGAUUUUCUAGUUUAUACCUGACGCUAAAGCGCGAAAGCUAGGGGAGCAAACAGG
RNAcentral lists this ribosomal RNA (254 nucleotides) under uncultured bacterium. RNAcentral's name for it is "partial 16S ribosomal RNA". It matches the Rfam family "Bacterial small subunit ribosomal RNA", at positions 524 to 776 of the family's 1533-position model. The record is from RNAcentral.